This 467-nucleotide ribosomal RNA is filed under the name uncultured bacterium. Its description in RNAcentral is "partial 16S ribosomal RNA". It matches the Rfam family "Bacterial small subunit ribosomal RNA", at positions 28 to 507 of the family's 1533-position model. The record is from RNAcentral.
GAUGAACGCUGGCGGCGUGCUUAACACAUGCAAGUCGAACGGAAAGGCUCCUUCGUGCAGGGGUACUCGAGUGACGAACGGGUAAGUAACAAGUAGGCGACCUGCCCUGCACUUCGGGCUACGCCUAGGUAGCUGGGACAUCUACCGGAAAGGACCACAUCUUGGUUGGUGUGGUGGAAAGUUUUUCGGUUUGGGAUGAGCUCGCGGCCUAUCAGCUUGUUGGUGGGGGAAUGGCCUACCAAGGCGUCGCCGGGUAGCCGGCCUGAGAGGGUGUACGGCCACAAUUGGAAUGGGAUACGGCCCAGGCUCCUAAGGGAGGCAGGAGGGGGGAAUAUUGGACAAUGGGCGCAAGGCUGAUGCAGGGACGCCGCGUGGCGGAUGACGGGCUUCGGGUUGGAAACUCCUUUCGCGAGGGACGAAGCGUUGUUGUGACGGUACCUGGAGAAGAAGCACCGGCUAACUACGUG